This 471-nucleotide ribosomal RNA is filed under the name uncultured bacterium. RNAcentral's name for it is "partial 16S ribosomal RNA". It matches the Rfam family "Bacterial small subunit ribosomal RNA", at positions 28 to 507 of the family's 1533-position model. The record is from RNAcentral.
GACGAACGCUGGCGGCGUGCUUAACACAUGCAAGUCGAACGAUGAAGCGGUGCUUGCACCGUGGUUUAGUGGCGAACGGGUGAGUAAUACGUGAGUGACCUACCUUUGACUCUGGGAUAAGCCUGGGAAACUGGGUCUAAUACCGGAUACGACCAAUCUCUGCAUGGGGUGUUGGUGGAAAGCGUUAUGGCGUGGUUUUAGAUGGGCUCACGGCCUAUCAGCUUGUUGGUGAGGUAAUGGCUUACCAAGGCGACGACGGGUAGCCGGCCUGAGAGGGUGAGCGGCCACACUGGGACUGAGACACGGCCCAGACUCCUACGGGAGGCAGCAGUGGGGAAUAUUGCACAAUGGGCGCAAGCCUGAUGCAGCGACGCCGCGUGAGGGAUGACGGCCUUCGGGUUGUAAACCUCUGUUAGCAUCGAAGAAGCGAAAGUGACGGUAGGUGCAGAGAAAGCGCCGGCUAACUACGUG